Molecule: long non-coding RNA, 1583 nt
Organism: Brassica napus (rape)
Lineage: Eukaryota; Viridiplantae; Streptophyta; Magnoliopsida; Brassicales; Brassicaceae
Exons: 2
Source: RefSeq, a predicted model, not a curated record
GACUUUUGGGGAUGGCAAAGCCCUGCCGGAACGUCACCGGAACAGCCACAAAUAGCCACCAUGAAAGAGAAGCCAUCCCACCAUCCGAAAAGAGAGAUUAGAGCUCAGCAGACAUGUUUUGGGGGAACAGAAGAACGAUCGAUCAAAUAUGAGUAUUUGGAAGCUAAAUUUUGAGAUCGGAUCCGCGAAUAGUCAACUUCAUCAGCGUUUUACCGUUGAUACAGAAGUAACCAGGGAACGGACGAGAUAUCAUUGGAAAGAUCUCGAUUCCAGAUUUUCAGAUCAUCUAUCCGAUCAUCAAAUCGACGUACGGUUAGAAAUUUAUUUACGUUUUUUCUUGGCGAAGAAUAAAGCUGUUGAAUUGCAGAGACAGUUCCGACCAGUCUCGGUGUAAGUGAGAAACGGUCGUCAGAAACAAAAUCUUUCAGUCUGGAAAUUUUUUAGUAAGUAGUUAAUUCUCUUAUCUAUCAUCUCUUGCAAGCGGAUCGUUAUUCUGAGUUAUUUUCUGAGAGUUAUGCUUGUUUUCGUGAGAGGUGUUGGUGCAGUUUGCGUUUACGACCAGCCUAGAGAUGAAGCUACUUUGGUUAAGCAAAUGGUGUCCGAUCGGAGUAAACUUGGUGUCUAUGGAUAGAGGACACAUAGGAAUACAUUAUGACUGGAGAGAUCGAAAAGUUAACGGUCAGUUCUUGAGUUAUUCAUCUGUUUGCUCUAUGGUUCAGUUCUACCAGAAUAUCAUAUUGAUCUAAUUUCAGAGAGUUCCAGAGUUGCUUUGUUAGAGCCGUAAAGGUCCAUUCGGCGUUUCCUCAGGUUUCUUCAGAACCCAUGGCAAAGGUGAGGGUCUUUUCCCGAGCUUCUCUUACACGGCUUAGGACCUCGAAUAAGUAUUAUUUAUUUCUAAUGUGUUCCGUGUAUGUGAAAUCGAGUCUGUCAUUGUUUGCUUAGUUUUAGGUUCUUUGCUUAACCGGAACUACGGUGUUAGAUGGUUCAACAGUGCUUGUUCAUUUAUAAUUGAUAAUAUAUAUGUAUAUAGUAUAUUGAGGUGAUUUGGGUGUUAGCCGACCAUGGAGACGUAAUUCCGUGUGUCGGCCGGAGACCAGUACAUUGGGUGUGGUGUAUGCUGCGGCACAGCUUAGUCGACCUGUUGUGCCAAAGCUCCGAGGUCGAUAAAUCGUCUACGGGCGUGUGUUACCGAGCACAUAUUCGGUGGUGUUUUGGCCUGUUAGUGGGCAGCGAGUGUGCACCUCACUAGGACUGUUGUGUGAUCUUUGGGUACUUUAGGUACCGUGUUUGCAACGCGUUAGGAUUAAAUUAGAUUUAUUCGGAGUGCUCUGUCCGAGUCCAUGGACUUCGGGUUUAGUAUCCCAUACCUCACUGAGUGACUUCCCCGUUACUCACCCCUCAUUUGCGCUUUCAGGUGAGACUGACGAGUAGGAGAUUGAUCGGACAGCUGGUGCUUUUAGGCGUUUUCCUUUGUUCUAUUUCUCAGACUUUUAUUUAUUAUUUUGACGAUUAUUUCAGUUAUUUCGACUAUGAGAUUUAUGGAUUUAUUUCGUUAUUUAUAUGGAAGUCGACUUUCAGACCUU